GCCGGCUUAGCUCAGUGGUAGAGCAGCUGAUUUGUAAUCAGCAGGUCAGGAGUUCGAGCCUCCUAGCCGGCU
This 72-nucleotide transfer RNA is filed under the name Verrucomicrobiota bacterium. Its description in RNAcentral is "tRNA-Thr". It matches the Rfam family "tRNA". Rfam says of the family: Transfer RNA (tRNA) molecules are approximately 80 nucleotides in length. Their secondary structure includes four short double-helical elements and three loops (D, anti-codon, and T loops). The record is from RNAcentral. Lineage: Bacteria; Pseudomonadati; Verrucomicrobiota.